GGAAUGUGGCUCAAGCGGUAGCGCGCUCGCCUGGCACGCGUGUGGUCUGAGUUUGAUCCUUAGCACCA
Molecule: transfer RNA, 68 nt
Filed under: Marmota monax (woodchuck)
Lineage: Eukaryota; Metazoa; Chordata; Mammalia; Rodentia; Sciuridae
Description: tRNA.Ala
Source: RNAcentral